AAGACUGUCAACGGAAAUGGACAGACCUGAAGAGUGUGGUUAAAAAAAAGGAACAGAAAAGGCGACUUUCAAUGCAGCGAACAGGAGGCGGGCCUGCGGAAACAGAUAUCAGCCUAAAGCCUAUCCAAGAAAAGAUUCUAUUCAUGAUACCACCAGUCUUGAUUGAUGGGGUCGGUGGAGUCGACACUUUCGUUGAAAUGU
Long non-coding RNA from Dreissena polymorpha, 201 nucleotides. RefSeq lists it as uncharacterized. The transcript has 3 exons. The record is from RefSeq and is a predicted model, not a curated record. NCBI's taxonomy places the organism in Eukaryota, Metazoa, Mollusca, Bivalvia, Myida, Dreissenidae.